Callorhinus ursinus (northern fur seal) is the source of this 80-nucleotide non-coding RNA. Lineage: Eukaryota; Metazoa; Chordata; Mammalia; Carnivora; Otariidae. The record is from RefSeq and is a predicted model, not a curated record.
AAUAUCUUCAAAGUGUUUUGGUGAAUCCAAUCUUGACAUUUCUUGGACUUCACAAGUCCAGCUUGCAUGUGUCUCCCAUC